This 217-nucleotide ribosomal RNA is filed under the name uncultured bacterium. RNAcentral's name for it is "partial 16S ribosomal RNA". It matches the Rfam family "Bacterial small subunit ribosomal RNA", at positions 555 to 770 of the family's 1533-position model. The record is from RNAcentral.
UGGGGGUAAAGCGGACGUAGGCGGCUUUGUAAGUCUCACUGUGAAAGCCCGGGGCUCAACCCCGGAAUUGCCUUUAAGACUGCAUCGCUUGAAUCCAGGAGAGGUGAGUGGAAUUCCGAGUGUAGAGGUGAAAUUCGUAGAUAUUCGGAAGAACACCAGUGGCGAAGGCGGCUCACUGGACUGGUAUUGACGCUGAGGUGCGAAAGCGUGGGGAGCA